This 293-nucleotide long non-coding RNA is filed under the name Panax ginseng (ginseng). RNAcentral's name for it is "long non-coding RNA (PGIN_LNC013746)". The record is from RNAcentral. Lineage: Eukaryota; Viridiplantae; Streptophyta; Magnoliopsida; Apiales; Araliaceae.
GGGUACCUGGUUUCAGCAUCUCGUAGGACGUGACUGACAUAAUAGACCGGAUGCUGCUUUCCACUGACCUCCCGAACCAGCACUGCUCCAACUGCCAACGAACUUGCUGCAAGGUACAAAUACAAGGUCUCUGCUGGGGCAGGCUUCACCAAUAAAGGAGCAGAAGACAGAUAUGUCUUUAUGCCUUAGAAGGCGUCUUCACACUCCGAAGUCCACUGGAACGUCUUCGCAUUCUUCGGCCCCUUCAAUGUGUCGAAGAACGGCAAGCAUCUCUCCGCAGACUUCGACAUAAA